This 468-nucleotide ribosomal RNA is filed under the name Triticum aestivum (bread wheat). RNAcentral describes it as "partial small subunit ribosomal RNA". The record is from RNAcentral. Lineage: Eukaryota; Viridiplantae; Streptophyta; Magnoliopsida; Poales; Poaceae.
AUGUAUCUAGUGGCAUGGGCAGUUGUUGAGAGGGAAACUAAUGAUACAUGGAAGUGGUUCAUUGCCCUACUUAUUAAAGAUCUUGAGAUUAAUGACAAUGGAGCUGGCUGGGUGUUCAUUUCAGAUCAGCAGAAGGGACUGAUAAAUGCAAUGAAGGAUUAUUUGCCAAAUGCAGAGCACAUAAUGUGUGCUAGGCAUAUCUAUGCCAACUGGAGGAAGAAGCAUAGGGAACAUCAGUGGCAGAAGAAGUUUUGGGCAGUUGCCAAAGCAGCAAACAAGCAGGACUUCAACUACUAUAAAGCAAAGCUUGCCCAAGAAACUACAGAAGGUGCAAAAGACAUCAUGAGAACAGAGCUAGUGCACUGGGUAAGGGCUUUUUUCCAGUGGGAUCCAAUUGUGAGUCAGUUGAUAAUAAUUUGUGUGAAUCCUUCAAUCAUGCAAUUGUUGAAGCAAGGUUUUAUCCAAUAA